UACGGGAGGCAGCAGUGGGGAAUAUUGCACAAUGGGCGCAAGCCUGAUGCAGCCAUGCCGCGUGUAUGAAGAAGGCCUUCGGGUUGUAAAGUACUUUCAGUCGUGAGGAAGGUGUUAAGGUUAAUAACCUUAGCAAUUGACGUUAGCGACAGAAGAAGCACCGGCUAACUCCGUGCCAGCAGCCGCGGUAAUACGGAGGGUGCGAGCGUUAAUCGGAAUUACUGGGCGUAAAGGGCACGCAGGCGGUUAAUUAAGUUGGAUGUGAAAUCCCCGGGCUUAACCUGGGAAUGGCAUUCAAGACUGGUUAGCUAGAGUCUUGUAGAGGGGGUAGAAUUCCAUGUGUAGCGGUGAAAUGCGUAGAGAUGUGGAGGAAUACCGGUGGCGAGGGCGGCCCCUGGGACAAAGACUGACGCUCAUGUGCGAAAGCGUGGGGAGCAAACAGGGAUUUAGAUAC
RNAcentral lists this ribosomal RNA (454 nucleotides) under uncultured bacterium. RNAcentral's name for it is "bacterial SSU rRNA". It matches the Rfam family "Bacterial small subunit ribosomal RNA", at positions 340 to 785 of the family's 1533-position model. The record is from RNAcentral.